RNAcentral lists this ribosomal RNA (492 nucleotides) under uncultured bacterium. RNAcentral's name for it is "partial 16S ribosomal RNA". It matches the Rfam family "Bacterial small subunit ribosomal RNA", at positions 29 to 507 of the family's 1533-position model. The record is from RNAcentral.
AGUGAACGCUGGCGGUAGGCCUAACACAUGCAAGUCGAACGGCAGCACAGUAAGAGCUUGCUCUUACGGGUGGCGAGUGGCGGACGGGUGAGGAAUACAUCGGAAUCUACUUUUUCGUGGGGGAUAACGUAGGGAAACUUACGCUAAUACCGCAUACGACCUACGGGUGAAAGCAGGGGAUCUUCGGACCUUGCGCGAUUGAAUGAGCCGAUGUCGGAUUAGCUAGUUGGCGGGGUAAAGGCCCACCAAGGCGACGAUCCGUAGCUGGUCUGAGAGGAUGAUCAGCCACACUGGAACUGAGACACGGUCCAGACUCCUACGGGGGGCAGCAGUGGGGAAUAUUGGACAAUGGGCGCAAGCCUGAUCCAGCCAUACCGCGUGGGUGAAGAAGGCCUUCGGGUUGUAAAGCCCUUUUGUUGGGAAAGAAAAGCAGCAGGUUAAUACCCCGCUGUUCUGACGGUACCCAAAGAAUAAGCACCGGCUAACUCCGUG